GACGAACGCUGGCGGCGUGCUUAACACAUGCAAGUCGAACGGAAAGGCCCUGCAUUUGUGGGGUGCUCGAGUGGCGAACGGGUGAGUAACACGUGAGUAACCUGCCCUUGACUUUGGGAUAACUUCAGGAAACUGGGGCUAAUACCGGAUAGGAGCUCCUGCUGCAUGGUGGGGGUUGGAAAGUUUCGGCGGUUGGGGAUGGACUCGCGGCUUAUCAGCUUGUUGGUGGGGUAGUGGCUUACCAAGGCUUUGACGGGUAGCCGGCCUGAGAGGGUGACCGGCCACAAUGGGACUGAGGUACGGCCCAGACUCCUACGGGAGGCAGCAGUGGGAAAUAUUGCACAAUGGGCGGGAGCGAGAUGCAGCAACGCCGCGUGCGGGAUGACGGCCUUCGGGUUGUAAACCGCUUUCGCCUGUGACGAAGCGUGAGUGACGGUAAUGAAUAAAGAAGCACCGGCUAACUACGUG
RNAcentral lists this ribosomal RNA (468 nucleotides) under uncultured bacterium. RNAcentral's name for it is "partial 16S ribosomal RNA". It matches the Rfam family "Bacterial small subunit ribosomal RNA", at positions 28 to 507 of the family's 1533-position model. The record is from RNAcentral.